Molecule: ribosomal RNA, 497 nt
Filed under: uncultured bacterium
Lineage: Bacteria
Description: partial 16S ribosomal RNA
Rfam family: Bacterial small subunit ribosomal RNA
Source: RNAcentral
GAUGAACGCUGGCGGCGUGCCUAAUACAUGCAAGUCGAGCGAACGGACUAGAAGCUUGCUUUUCUGAUGUUAGCGGCGGACGGGUGAGUAACACGUGGAUAACCUACCUAUAAGACUGGGAUAACUUCGGGAAACCGGAUCUAAUACCGGAUAAUAUUUUGAACCGCAUGGUUCAAAAGUGAAAGACGGUCUUGCUGUCACUUAUAGAUGGAUCCGCGCUGCAUUAGCUAGUUGGUAAGGUAACGGCUUACCAAGGCAACGAUGCAUAGCCGACCUGAGAGGGUGAUCGGCCACACUGGAACUGAGACACGGACAAGACUCCUACGGGAGGCAGCAGUAGGGAAUCGGCCGCAAUGGGCGAAAGCAUGACGGAGCAACGCCGCGUGAGUGAUGAAGGUCUUCGGAGAGGAAAACUCUGUUAUGAGGGAAGAACAUAUGUGUAAGGAAAUGUGCACAUAGUGACGGUACCUAAUCAGAAAGCCACGGCUAACUACGUG